This 398-nucleotide ribosomal RNA is filed under the name uncultured bacterium. RNAcentral describes it as "bacterial SSU rRNA". It matches the Rfam family "Bacterial small subunit ribosomal RNA", at positions 90 to 509 of the family's 1533-position model. The record is from RNAcentral.
GGGGAGUGGCGAACGGCUGAGUAACACGUAAGUAACCUGUCCCUAAGUGGGGGAUAACUUGUCGAAAGGCAGGCUAAUACCGCAUGUGCUGGUAAACGUCAGUUUAUCAGCAAAGCUUUUGCGCUUGGGGAGGGGCUUGCGUCUGAUUAACUAGUUGGUAAGGUAAUGGCCUACCAGGGCGAUGAUCAGUAACUGGUCUGAGAGGACAACCAGCCAGACGGGGACUGAGAUACGGCCCUGACUCCUACGGGAGGCAGCAACAAGGAAUUUUGCGCAAUGGGCGAAAGCCUGACGCAGCGACGCCGCGUGGGGGAUGACGGCCUUCGGGUUGUAAACCCCUUUUCUAGAGGAAGAAAUCUGACGGGACUCUAGGAAUAAGUCUUGGCUAACUACGUGCC